Molecule: long non-coding RNA, 105 nt
Organism: Xiphophorus couchianus (Monterrey platyfish)
Lineage: Eukaryota; Metazoa; Chordata; Actinopteri; Cyprinodontiformes; Poeciliidae
Exons: 3
Source: RefSeq, a predicted model, not a curated record
CUCCAUCUCUGAUAUUGUUAAAUCUACAAAGAUAUAAAGAAGGUAUAUCUAUUAUAAUUUUUAUUUUGAGUUUACUCAAAAACAAUCAUGAGACCUUCAAUUCUA